This 841-nucleotide ribosomal RNA is filed under the name Tisochrysis lutea. RNAcentral describes it as "eukaryotic LSU rRNA". It matches the Rfam family "Eukaryotic large subunit ribosomal RNA", at positions 151 to 1073 of the family's 3401-position model. The record is from RNAcentral. Lineage: Eukaryota; Haptophyta; Isochrysidales; Isochrysidaceae.
UAGAGAGGCGCCUUCGGGCGCGCGCGCCGCUCAAGUCCCUUGGAAGAGGGUAUCGGAGAGGGUGAGAAUCCCGUACCGUGGCCGCGCGCGCCCUCACGAUGCGUGCUCGUCGAGUCGGGUUGCUUGGGAUUGCAGCUUGAAGUGGGUGGUAAAUUCCAUCUAAAGCUAAAUACUGGCGAGAGACCGAUAGCGAACAAGUACCGUGAGGGAAAGAUGCAAAGAACUUUGAAAAGAGAGUCAAAGAGUGCUUGAAAUCGGCAGGAGGAAACCCGGAUGGGCCCGGCUUCGGCGCGCCGACUCAGCCGCCCGCUCGGGGCGGUGCACUUUGUCGCGCCGGGUCAGCCGCCGCUCUGCGCGCGUCACAAGCGGGGAGUAGGGCUCCGGCGAGCUCCCCCUCUGCCUCUCGCGGGGCGCCGGCUGACGGAACGGGCCCCUCCGACCCGUCUAGAAACACGGACCAAGGAGUCUGACACGUGUGCGAGUACCCGGGUGGCAAUCCCGCGUGCGGAAUGAAAGUGAAGGGCACGCCCUGCCAACCGACCUGGACCUUCUGCGAAGGGUUUGAGUGGAGCACACCUGUCGGGACCCGAAAGAUGGUGAACUAUGCCUGGGUAGGGUGAAGCCAGAGGAAACUCUGGUGGAGGCUCGUAGCGAUACUGACGUGCAAAUCGUUCGUCGAACCUGGGUAUAGGGGCGAAAGACUAAUCGAACCAUCUAGUAGCUGGUUCCCUCCGAAGUUUCCCUCAGGAUAGCUUGAACGCAACGGUUUUGUCAGGUAAAGCGAAUGAUUAGAGGCCUUGGGGCUGAAACAGCCUUAACCUAUUCUCAAACUUUAAAUGGG